This is a long non-coding RNA of Oncorhynchus masou masou (cherry salmon), 711 nucleotides long. RefSeq lists it as uncharacterized. The record is from RefSeq and is a predicted model, not a curated record. The transcript is spliced from 2 exons. Lineage: Eukaryota; Metazoa; Chordata; Actinopteri; Salmoniformes; Salmonidae.
AGAUAUUUUAACAUCAAAGUCAAGAAACUGCUUGUCUCAACCUUCAUUCAGUGUCAUUUUGAUUAUGCUGCUCUGCUUGGUAUAGUGGGCCAUCAAAAAAGCUGAAAAAGAGAAUGCAGGUAUAUGCUAAAUGUUAUCAGGUAUAUGCUAAAUGUCCCCCCUAGGACCCGCAUAGGGGUACAGGAGUUCUGGGAGGUGGGCUUGUUGCCUUUGGAGUCCAGAGUGGACCAACUUAACCUUAAUCAUAUGUUUGACAUCUUAAAUGACCGGGCCCCAGGUUAUAUGAAAAAACACAUUGAUAUGGUCUAUAACCGACACAGUUACAAUACCAGAGUUAAUGUUAUGUCUUGUAAAAUUGUCUAAGAGAAACCACUCCACUGCCCCUUGUGCCCCCUACUGCUGGUCAGGUGUAUUUAUUUGAAUGAUAGGUAUGAAAAUAUUGUUUUAAUGUGAUUUUUAAAGUUAGGGGAAAAUGCAUUGAGUAGUACCACUUUUUAGCAUGUCAAUAUAAAUGUAUGUAUUUAUGGUUGUUCGUAAUUUUGUCUUGCCUUUUCAUCAUUAUAUGUGUUAUUGUUUUACUAUCGAGGACCACUUUGGAAACAAGUGUUUUAAUUAAUACUUUCAAGUGAUAUCCUCUCAGUCCACAUUGUACAUUUUGUUGUAUAUGUCUGUUACCCAAAAUUAAUUAAAUUCGAUGGAUAUUCUACUAUA